This 271-nucleotide unclassified non-coding RNA is filed under the name uncultured fungus. RNAcentral describes it as "partial contains small subunit ribosomal RNA, internal transcribed spacer 1, and 5.8S ribosomal RNA". The stretch from base 1 to 73 matches the Rfam family "Eukaryotic small subunit ribosomal RNA", at positions 1759 to 1831 of the family's 1831-position model. Lineage: Eukaryota; Fungi. The record is from RNAcentral.
GCAAACUUGGUCAUUUAGAGGAAGUAAAAGUCGUAACAAGGUCUCCGUAGGUGAACCUGCGGAGGGAUCAUUACCGAGCGAGGGCCAUAGGCCCGACCUCCCACCCCAUGUGGUCGCAUCUGACGACUGUGCCUCGGGGGCGACCCGUCGAGAGGCGGGCCCCCCGGCGGACGCACGCACAACGCUGUCGAACCGUCGUCGCGUAAACAAACGAAUAAGCAAAACUUUCAACAAUGGAUCUCUUGGUUCUGGCAUCGAUGAAGAACGCAGC